CAGCAGUGGCAGACGGGUGAGUAACACGUGGGAACCUUCCUAGGGGUACGGAACAACUCAGGGAAACUUGAGCUAAUACCGUAUACGUCCGUGAGGAGUAAGAUUUAUCGCCCCUAGACGGGCCCGCGUAGGAUUAGGUAGUUGGUGAGGUAACGGCUCACCAAGCCUACGAUCCUUAGCUGAUCUGAGAGGAUGAUCAGCCACACUGGGACUGAGACACGGCCCAGACUCCUACGGGAGGCAGCAGUGGGGAAUCUUGGACAAUGGGCGCAAGCCUGAUCCAGCCAUGCCGCGUGAGUGAAGAAGGCCUUCGGGUUGUAAAGCUCUUUUACCAGGGACGAUAAUGACGGUACCUGGAGAAUAAGCCCCGGCAAACUUCGUGCCAGCAGCCGCGGUAAUACGAAGGGGGCUAGCGUUGUUCGGAAUUACUGGGCGUAAAGCGCACGUAGGCGGAUUGUUAAGUCAGAGGUGAAAUCCCGGAGCUCAACUUCGGAACUGCCUUUGAUA
This 507-nucleotide ribosomal RNA is filed under the name uncultured Beijerinckiaceae bacterium. RNAcentral describes it as "bacterial SSU rRNA". It matches the Rfam family "Bacterial small subunit ribosomal RNA", at positions 90 to 632 of the family's 1533-position model. Lineage: Bacteria; Pseudomonadati; Pseudomonadota; Alphaproteobacteria; Hyphomicrobiales; Beijerinckiaceae. The record is from RNAcentral.